This 392-nucleotide ribosomal RNA is filed under the name Acinetobacter baumannii. Its description in RNAcentral is "bacterial SSU rRNA". It matches the Rfam family "Bacterial small subunit ribosomal RNA", at positions 422 to 804 of the family's 1533-position model. Lineage: Bacteria; Pseudomonadati; Pseudomonadota; Gammaproteobacteria; Moraxellales; Moraxellaceae. The record is from RNAcentral.
GUUGUAAAGCACUUUAAGCGAGGAGGAGGCUACUUUAGUUAAUACCUAGAGAUAGUGGACGUUACUCGCAGAAUAAGCACCGGCUAACUCUGUGCCAGCAGCCGCGGUAAUACAGAGGGUGCGAGCGUUAAUCGGAUUUACUGGGCGUAAAGCGUGCGUAGGCGGCUUAUUAAGUCGGAUGUGAAAUCCCCGAGCUUAACUUGGGAAUUGCAUUCGAUACUGGUGAGCUAGAGUAUGGGAGAGGAUGGUAGAAUUCCAGGUGUAGCGGUGAAAUGCGUAGAGAUCUGGAGGAAUACCGAUGGCGAAGGCAGCCAUCUGGCCUAAUACUGACGCUGAGGUACGAAAGCAUGGGGAGCAAACAGGAUUAAAACCCCCGGUAGAGAGAUGGAGGG